This 1436-nucleotide long non-coding RNA is filed under the name Homo sapiens (human). RNAcentral's name for it is "HSALNT0333971". Lineage: Eukaryota; Metazoa; Chordata; Mammalia; Primates; Hominidae. The record is from RNAcentral.
UACCUGUCCAUUCCAAGGAUUCGGUCCAGCAGAAGCGUGAGGAGGUGGCGGAGGCCCCGAGGGCUUUGCGUCAUCACUUCUGCGGCCUGCGGGCGAGAAGGUGCGCUUCGGGAGUAGCGCGGGAGGACAGGAGGCGCAGGUUGUGAGGGACGCAGGCCCUGGGGCUUCGGUCUCUGUCCUCCGAGCUCAGAGCCUCCAGGCUUCUUCCCGGCCGCGCGCUCAGCACUCACUGUCUUACGGUCCCGAAGCGCUUUAAGGUGCGCAGUCCGCAGGCCUUGCCUACUGAUCUUCCAGCCACCCCUUGAAGGAAGCAGUUGCAGAGGCAUAGAGCCGGCCAUCUCGCACAAUGUCUUCUACCAGCUGCUCAUAGUCCUCUGCAAAGUCAACCAAGACGCUGAGCACAGUGCCAAACCUAUAUAGAAACUCAUUUGGGAUAUGGAGGAGAAUAUGCCACCAGUUCUCCAAAGUGGAGGGUUCUUCCCAGCAGGAAACCUCUCAACUCUGGCUGGCUGACCUGCUGCCCUAGCCUCCCCCCUCCUCUCGCAGCUGUUGGGCCAAAAGACACAAAGAACGAGCCCAGUCCUCCUCGUCCCCACUCCUUGUGACCAGGGGAUAUGGACCUAAUGAAUCAUCAUUUUCAGUAUGGCUACCCUGCCUUUUUCCUCCACCCUUUCCCCCCAUUCUCCCUCAGACCUGGCUAAUUAAAAGGAAGGGAAACAGAAUGCAUAAUGUGGGUAACUAUACUGUAAUAACAGUUAACACAAAGUGUUUCCAUUUGCCAAGCACUGUUCUAAGUACUUUUUAUGUAAUCACUCUUUUAAUCACAACACAGUAUGAGGCGAGCACUAUGGAAAACUGAGGCACAGAGACAUUAAGUGACUUGUCCAGGAUCACAGAGCUAGUAGGAGACAGGGCUGGGAUCUGAACCCAGCUUCAGUCCUCCUAACUAGUAUCCUACUCUCCCUUUGACCAGUACAGCCUUUCGAGGGGUAGACAUCAUUUCCCCAGAGCCCACUGGGAAGGUCUGAGGAAUGUGGGGUAAGAAGGUUAUGGAACACACCUGUGACCUCAUGCACACACACAGUCAGGGCUCAAAUAUCCUUCCAGACCCAGGAGCAAAUGUGAAUCGCAUGUCCAUUAACUAAGAGGGUUAGGGACCCAUGGGGGAUAGGAAUGAGAGUAGGGAAACAAGGUGGGGUAGGGGAAGGGGGCACUAAGGAACUGGCUGGACUUCUCUGUCCCUUGAACUGAGAUGAAACAGGCAGAUAGGAGACAACCCUUAGCUAUGUCCUGGGUUCUUCAUAAGAAGGAGGUUGAGGAGGUGUCAUCCCCUAAUAGGCACCCUAUCUCUGGUCCCAACCUCAGCCCCUUACCAAAGGUCACUCUGCUUCUGUCCUCUCAAAGUCCUUACCUUUGCACGUCUUCCUGUCUGGCUG